UACGUAGGGGGCAAGCGUUAUCCGGAUUUACUGGGUGUAAAGGGAGCGUAGACGGCGAUGCAAGUCUGAAGUGAAAGCCCGGGGCCCAACCCCGGGACUGCUUUGGAAACUGUAUGGCUGGAGUGCUGGAGAGGCAAGCGGAAUUCCUAGUGUAGCGGUGAAAUGCGUAGAUAUUAGGAAGAACACCAGUGGCGAAGGCGGCUUGCUGGACAGUAACUGACGCUGAGGCUCGAAAGCGUGGGGAGCAAACAGG
Molecule: ribosomal RNA, 253 nt
Filed under: uncultured bacterium
Lineage: Bacteria
Description: partial 16S ribosomal RNA
Rfam family: Bacterial small subunit ribosomal RNA
Source: RNAcentral